GUCCCCGUAGCUCAGUGGAUAGAGCGUCGGCCUCCGGAGCCGAAAGCGGGAGUUCGAGUCUCCCCGGGGACGCCU
RNAcentral lists this transfer RNA (75 nucleotides) under Ornatilinea apprima. RNAcentral's name for it is "tRNA-Arg". It matches the Rfam family "tRNA". From Rfam's summary of the family: Transfer RNA (tRNA) molecules are approximately 80 nucleotides in length. The record is from RNAcentral. Lineage: Bacteria; Bacillati; Chloroflexota; Anaerolineae; Anaerolineales; Anaerolineaceae.